AUACUUAUUUGGGGUCGGGGUGUCUGCGAUCAAGGAGGCAGAGCCCCCAGGGCGAGGUGCGGCCAUUGCACUUCGGUCGUGUUGACCCCUGCCACUUUCUCAAACUGAGAUAGUGAUGGGGCACGAAAUUUUUUUUAUUCACGC
Molecule: small nuclear RNA, 144 nt
Filed under: Ixodes scapularis (black-legged tick)
Lineage: Eukaryota; Metazoa; Arthropoda; Arachnida; Ixodida; Ixodidae
Description: U1 spliceosomal RNA
Rfam family: U1 spliceosomal RNA
About the family: U1 is a small nuclear RNA (snRNA) component of the spliceosome (involved in pre-mRNA splicing). Its 5' end forms complementary base pairs with the 5' splice junction, thus defining the 5' donor site of an intron.
Source: Rfam by way of RNAcentral